CCUACGGGUGGCAGCAGUGAGGAAUAUUGGUCAAUGGGCGGGCGCCUGAACCAGCCAAGUCGCGUGAGGGAUGACGGCCCUAUGGGUUGUAAACCUCUUUUGCCGGGGAGCAAAGUGCCGCCCGUGUGCGGUUUGGAGCGUACCCGGAGAAAAAGCAUCGGCUAACGCCGUGCCAGCAGACGCGGUAAUACGGAGGAUGCGAGCGUUAGCCGGGUAUAUUGGGUUUAAAGGGUGCUGAGGCGGACGCUUAAGUCAGCGGUAAGAUUGCGGGGCUCAACCUCGUCGAGCCGUUGAAACUGGGUGCCUUGAGUGGGCGAGAAGUACGCGGAAUGCGUGGUGUAGCGGUGAAAUGCAUAGAUAUCACGCAGAACUCCGAUUGCGAAGGCAGCGUACCGGCGCCCAACUGACGCUGAAGCACGAAGGCGUGGGUAUCGAACAGGAUUAGAUACCCUGGUAGUC
RNAcentral lists this ribosomal RNA (459 nucleotides) under uncultured bacterium. RNAcentral describes it as "partial 16S ribosomal RNA". It matches the Rfam family "Bacterial small subunit ribosomal RNA", at positions 338 to 795 of the family's 1533-position model. The record is from RNAcentral.